Gallus gallus (chicken) is the source of this 2778-nucleotide long non-coding RNA. RefSeq lists it as uncharacterized. The record is from RefSeq and is a predicted model, not a curated record. The transcript has 7 exons. Lineage: Eukaryota; Metazoa; Chordata; Aves; Galliformes; Phasianidae.
GUGAUUCUCAGCCCUGUGGGAAGAACUAUGAAUCAGAGUUCCUUGGUUUCAACAGGUAAUCAAAGGAAAAACUUUGCUUAUUUAAAGUACUUCACAACUACAUAGCAUCUGAUCAACAUCUUUGAUGCCUGGCUUUGGGUGGAGAGUGAAAUUUUAAGUCUCACUUGCUAUUAAAAUCAAAGAAUAAAUUUGUAGAUGGAAAGUUACCCCUGCCUUCCACAGCCUUCUUGGUAACCUUUCAAUUACUAUGACAAUUGUAAACAAACAACUUGAAACAAAUGGUCAAAUCAACAAGACCAGGUUCAUGACCUCUACAGAACUGCAGCAGCUCCCUCUGUUCUGAAAACCACAUGGGGGAAGAUGUUUAAGCUAACUUCAGUGAGAAUGUUCUCUGCUCUUGAGAAAGUCUGUUCUGGAGAAGAUUCAUAUUGGCUUUCAAGACAUUUACAGUGAGUUUUUGGCUGAAAUGACUAAUGUUGAAGUCACGUAAGGAAUGAAUUGUGGAAAGCCUUAUGUUGCUGAUACCUCUGCAAACAUAGUUUUCACAGGUAUGGAGUUACAACACAACCUCAUCGGACUGGAGUGGAAGGAGAAUACGAUGCAUAUCUGCAGGAAGAUGGCAUAAAAGUUUUAAAUUUCCACAACAAUCAGCUCUUAAAAACUUCCUGAAAACUUUGAAGGAAUAUCAGUAUACUGUAGCGCCCUCCUACAAUUCAUGCGGCAGUCCUUCCUGGAUGGAAACAAUUCCUUACUUCCAGGAACUAUGAUUCUGCUUGAACAAAAUUGCUUUUAGUGAAUGAUAGAUGUGAAUCUCCAACUCCUCCUUCAAGCACCUGACAGACAGAACUGCAUAUCAAACCAAGUUAAGCUGAUGAUUUAAACAUUUUGCCUAUCUGGAACUUUAAUUAUCUCAUCAUCUCCUUAUGUUUCAUUAUUAUGAAGCUGCAAGAAAUGACAACAACUAGAGAAGAGUGGCUAUAUAAACCAAAUACAACUUCAAGAACCAAAUUUAAAUGGAUGUAUUAUAUAUCCUAACACUGAAACAAAGCCAGACUAUUUUUUUAUGGCACUGAUUAUAAAUUAAAGUAGACUGAAAAUUUCAGGAGUCAGAUAACCUUUUUCCAUAUGCUUAAGUAAGGGUGUUUACUCCAAAACCAAAGUUUGUAUCCAAAAUUUAAAUGAUGCCACUGGCAUUCAGUAUGAAUUGAGCUGGAGUAGGUUUCAACACAGAAGGAGGAUUUGAAAAGCAGUCAUUUUAUUUUCCUUUCUCUUUUCUUCAUUCUUUAUGAAUUCAGCCAAGAUGUAUUGUAUGUAUCUUUUUCAGUGGCACCCUUUGUUUUGUGGAAAACAGUGAUUUUAGAAAUAUACAAAAAAUAAAUACGUUUAAAAGUUCAGAAAGACAGUUAGUGAUGAUAUUUCUGGCAUGGAGGGAGAAACAAUAUUUUUGUAUCAGACUGCAGUGAAUUAGAGUAAUUAACAUUUUGAGUAAUCUGAUUAUCUUUAUAACUGUACUGAUUCUCAUUAAGAAACAAAAACUAUUCCUGCUUCAAUAUUCUCUACUUCUUGUAUGCUAAGUGAAAAUAAUUUCAUGGGGAGAGACACAGUUCACAUUAAUAUAAAUGUCAGAAACGGUUUAAGUGUUCUGUGCCCUUAAAAUCCUGCAGAAAGUCUUUAGAAGGUUAAAAACAAACAAACCAACCAAAAACCCCUACUGCUACCUAAAUUGUAUGAUAUGGUGAUUUAGUCCUGAUGUACCAAACUCUGCAAAAGUUAUAUAAGAAAACUCACAGUGAAUUUCCAGAAGAUGCCCAAGCAACAAAUAUCCUUCCCCAAGAAUGCAAAAUUGGACCCUUGAGUUUUAAAAAAUCUCUUUGCUUUAGGUUUCUAACAAGAGUAUUCAAAGAGUCAAUGACGGCAUUAAUUUCAUUUUCCAUCCUGAGUUCAGAUUUUAGAUGCUUUUAUGUCUUUUGGAACAUAUUGCUCUCAGUCUGACUUUUUAAACAAGACAGCUUAGUUUUGUUUAGAUUUCAGUAAGCAAGUGGCCAUAACAAAAUCUUACACUUUUACUGGAAGUCAAUGGAAAUUGAAGUCUGAAGGAAAACAUUAGGAUGUGCCUUACCACUUGUACUUAAUUCCCAGGAUGUUUAUCCUGCACAGCUAACUCAAGUGAUUGGCACCUAUGUCUGAACUGGCAGAAUAGCUCAGCCCAAGUACAAGGAUUUAUAAUAUGCCCUUGAUAUUUCUACACAUCUCAAGUCCAUACCAAAGUGCUGUUUAUGAUGAGAAGCUUUAAAAUUCUUCCCCACUAAGAAAGUUCAUUUCUACUAUGGGUGUCUUUGUCCAGAAAAUUUGCUGAACAGAUAUAACAGCACUCCAGAGAUGAUUUGUUAAGCACCAUCCCUUAGUAAAAUUCAGCUUGGUCUUUAACUUAGAUUUCCCUUAGUUUUACAAUCAGUUAUGCAAACUGCCAUGAACAAGGACCUAAGCUCUUUGCACAGUAGGAAAGAAAGAGAGCACAGUCAUGUACUGAGGUUAGAACCGUAAAGACGAAUGUAGAGAUGACAUAAUUAGGGAGAAAUUGAGGAGAGUUUAAACAACAAGGUUGAGUUCUGAAAAUCACUCAGUUGUAUCAAUAAGCUGGCAGAACAAAUCAGUUCAAAUCAGCUGUAGAGGCAAAGCACAGCUUGAAUGGCCAAUUGAUUCACUGGGUCAUGAUGCACUCAUUAGAUCAACCUCAUCCCAGCUUUCCUGAGAUCUGCUUACUGAAGCUUGGAGACC